GAUGAACGCUGGCGGCGUGCUUAACACAUGCAAGUCGAACGAGAAAUGUAGACGGACACCUUCGGGCGGAAGCCUUCAUUUCGAGUGGCGGACGGGUGAGUAACGCGUGGGUAACCUGCCUCAUACAGGGGGAUAACAGUUGGAAACGACUGUUAAUACCGCAUAAGACCACAGCAUCGCAUGAUGCGGGGGUAAAAACUCCGGUGGUAUGAGAUGGACCCGCGUUCGAUUAGCCAGUUGGCGGGGUAACGGCCCACCAAAGCGACGAUCGAUAGCCGAUCUGAGAGGAUGACCGGCCACAUUGGGACUGAGACACGGCCCAAACUCCUACGGGAGGCAGCAGUGGGGAAUAUUGCACAAUGGGGGAAACCCUGAUGCAGCGACGCCGCGUGAGUGAAGAUGUACUUCGGUAUGUAAAGCUCUAUCAGCAGGGAAGAAAAUGACGGUACCUGAGUAAGAAGCCCCGGCUAACUACGUG
This 478-nucleotide ribosomal RNA is filed under the name uncultured bacterium. RNAcentral describes it as "partial 16S ribosomal RNA". It matches the Rfam family "Bacterial small subunit ribosomal RNA", at positions 28 to 507 of the family's 1533-position model. The record is from RNAcentral.